Molecule: long non-coding RNA, 209 nt
Filed under: Zostera marina
Lineage: Eukaryota; Viridiplantae; Streptophyta; Magnoliopsida; Alismatales; Zosteraceae
Description: long non-coding RNA (ZMAR_LNC004095)
Source: RNAcentral
GGCAUUUAAUGAAUUUAUUUAAGUAAUUGUUUGAAUUAACUAUAGAUAUUAUUAAAUUGAUUAAAUAAUCAAUUUUAAAUCCAUUUAAAAUAUAAAGAGUAGAAAUAAAAGAUCAUAUUUAUCAAUCUACCUUGAUAAAUAAUAUUUAGAAUUAAAUGCGGUUUUGUACCACAUUUAAUGAAUACUCUAUAAUUAAAAAAGAAGGCAAU